This is a long non-coding RNA of Tupaia belangeri chinensis (Chinese tree shrew), 654 nucleotides long. RefSeq lists it as uncharacterized. Lineage: Eukaryota; Metazoa; Chordata; Mammalia; Scandentia; Tupaiidae. The transcript is spliced from 3 exons. The record is from RefSeq and is a predicted model, not a curated record.
AAAACUUUGUUGACAAAAAGAGUUCAUUUCCCCUGAACCUUUAAGCACCAGAUGGGCCUGCACCUUCCAAGGACUCCUUUCUUCUUUAAAAGCACAAUUGUUGUUCAGUUCCUCUCAGGUGCAGAUUCAUUAGCUCUUGACUGGCUCUCCUUGUUUGCUGACUACUUGUGGAAAAAGCCAUUUACCCUGGUGAAUGUCAAGGAGUCUUCUCAUUACUAAUUUAACAAGAAUGAUCUGUUUAGAACUACACAGAACAUCAUAAGCCUGCCAUGAAGUGUACCUUCAUUGCUGCAAGGGCUGCACUAGGCCCCUCAGGUGCUGUGUGCAGAGUGCUCCCAGCAUUCCUUCCCUUCCCCUCUCCUGCUGUUGAUGGCACAGUCUGCACAGGUCGUGAGGGGAGAGACUCACUCAGAGACUGCACCUGCUAAGAGGAGGAAAAUCAAUUUUCAUCAUCCAAAAAUACAGAACUGCUGGCACACAAACUAUAGUUGUUCAAGGUCCCUAGGGUCCAAGGGGAGUCCUACUAAGAAAGACAUAUGCUUGGAAUGAAAGUCAAUACUCUGUCCAUGUAACCGGAAUAAUAAGGAAAGUAGGGAAUGAAGAGGUGGAGGAUGGAAUGUUCCCAUGUAAGUCCCCAGUUCUACAAUAAAUACC